RNAcentral lists this ribosomal RNA (422 nucleotides) under Dendropsophus aff. minutus. RNAcentral describes it as "partial 16S ribosomal RNA". It matches the Rfam family "Bacterial large subunit ribosomal RNA", at positions 1863 to 2484 of the family's 2925-position model. The record is from RNAcentral. Lineage: Eukaryota; Metazoa; Chordata; Amphibia; Anura; Hylidae.
CCAGUGACUAAGUUCAACGGCCGCGGUAUCCUAACCGUGCGAAGGUAGCGUAAUCACUUGUUCUUUAAAUGAGGACUAGUAUGAAUGGCACCACGAAGGUUAUGCUGUCUCCUUUUUCUAAUCAAUGAAACUGAUCUCCCCGUGAAGAAGCGGGGAUACAACUAUAAGACGAGAAGACCCUAUGGAGCUUUAAACCAUGUAACACUGGUCAUACAUUAAAAUAUUCCAGAAUUUCUCAUAAUUACUCUAGCCACCAUGAUUACUAGUUUUAGGUUGGGGUGACCACGGAGCAAAAAUUAACCUCCAUGUUAAACGGAGCUACUCCUGAGCCAUAAGCCACGACUUUAAGCACUAAUAAAUUAAUAUUAAUUGACCCAAUAUUUUUGAUCAACGAACCAAGUUACCCUAGGGAUAACAGCGCA